RNAcentral lists this ribosomal RNA (421 nucleotides) under uncultured bacterium. RNAcentral describes it as "partial 16S ribosomal RNA". It matches the Rfam family "Bacterial small subunit ribosomal RNA", at positions 360 to 773 of the family's 1533-position model. The record is from RNAcentral.
AAUAUUGGACAGUGGGGGCAACCCUGACCCAGCCAUGCCGCGUGUGUGAAGAAGGUCUUCGGAUUGUAAAGCACUUUAAGUUGGGAGGAAGGGCUUUAGGUUAUUACCUUGAAGUUUGGACGUUACCAACAGAAUAAGCACCGGCUAACGCUGUGCCAGCAGCCGCGGUAAUACAGAGGGUGCAAGCGUUAAUCGGAAUUACUGGGCGUAAAGCGCGCGUAGGUGUGUUAGUAAGAUGGGUGUGAAAUCCCCGGGCUUAACCUGGGAACUGCUUUCAUAACUGCUGAGCUAGAGUACGGUAGAGGGUAGUGGAAUUUCCUGUGUAGCGGUGAAAUGCGUAGAUAUAGGAAGGAACACCAGUGGCGAAGGCGACUACCUGGACUGAUACUGACACUGAGGUGCGAGAGCGUGGGGGGCAAAC